UGGGGUGUGGCUCAGCGGUAAAGUGCUUGCCUCCCACGUGUGAGGCACUGGGUUCAAUCCUCAGCCCCUCAU
Molecule: non-coding RNA, 72 nt
Organism: Ictidomys tridecemlineatus (thirteen-lined ground squirrel)
Lineage: Eukaryota; Metazoa; Chordata; Mammalia; Rodentia; Sciuridae
Source: Rfam